Molecule: non-coding RNA, 72 nt
Organism: Salmo salar (Atlantic salmon)
Lineage: Eukaryota; Metazoa; Chordata; Actinopteri; Salmoniformes; Salmonidae
Source: Rfam
GACCUCUUGGCGCAACGGUAGCGCGUCUGACUCCAGAUCAGAAGGUUACUUGUUCAAAUCACCUCAUGGUCA